Molecule: small nucleolar RNA, 127 nt
Organism: Psammomys obesus (fat sand rat)
Lineage: Eukaryota; Metazoa; Chordata; Mammalia; Rodentia; Muridae
Product: small nucleolar RNA SNORA17
Exons: 1
Source: RefSeq, a predicted model, not a curated record
CCUUCCCCUAGAGGCGUUGCAGGUGUGGCUUCUGUGUCACAUGUGUAUCAGUAGGUGGCAGAAAGGAGAGAUGUUGUAUCUAUGCUCAGAAUAAUGUAUGACUUAUGAACAUCUGAAAAAAAGCAAG